This 494-nucleotide ribosomal RNA is filed under the name uncultured bacterium. Its description in RNAcentral is "partial 16S ribosomal RNA". It matches the Rfam family "Bacterial small subunit ribosomal RNA", at positions 28 to 507 of the family's 1533-position model. The record is from RNAcentral.
GACGAACGCUGGCGGCGCGCUUAACACAUGCAAGUCGAACGGAAAGGCCUGCUUUCCCUUGUGGAUUGCGGGUACUCGAGUGGCGAACGGGUGAGUAACACGUGAGUGAUCUGCCCCCAACUUGGGUAUAAGCCUGGGAAACUGGGUCUAAUUCCCGAUAGGACUGCAGGGUGGUGCCUGUGGUGGAAAACGAUUUUCUAGUGGUUGGGGAUGAGCUCGCGGCCUAUCAGCUUGUUGGUGGGGUAAUGGCCUACCAAGGCGGCGACGGGUAGCCGGCCUGAGAGGGUGGACGGCCACAUUGGGACUGAGAUACGGCCCAGACUACUACGGGAGGCAGCAGUGGGGAAUAUUGCACAAUGGGCGGAAGCCUGAUGCAGCGACGCCGCGUGGGGGAUGACGGCCUUCGGGUGGUAAACUCCUUUCGACCGCGAGGAAGCCACCUGGUUGGAAGGGUGGUGACGGUAGUGGUAGAAGAAGCACCGGCUAACUACGUG